CAGCCGCCGCGGGAAUACGUAGGGUGCAAGCGUUAAUCGGAAUUACUGGGCGUAAAGCGUGCGCAGGCGGUUUGUUAAGACAGAUGUGAAAUCCCCGGGCUCAACCUGGGAACUGCAUUUGUGACUGGCAAGCUAGAGUGUGGCAGAGGGGGGUGGAAUUCCGCGUGUAGCAGUGAAAUGCGUAGAUAUGCGGAGGAACACCGAUGGCGAAGGCAGCCCCCUGGACCAUUUCUGACGCUGAUGCACGAAAGCUAGGGGAGCAAACAGGAUUAGAUACCCGGGUAGUCCCUGUCUCUUAUAC
Molecule: ribosomal RNA, 301 nt
Filed under: uncultured bacterium
Lineage: Bacteria
Description: partial 16S ribosomal RNA
Rfam family: Bacterial small subunit ribosomal RNA
Source: RNAcentral